UAAGAAAUAGUAUAACGGUAAUACUAAGAAUUUUGAUUUCUUAAAUAAGAGUUCAAUUCUCUUUUUCUUAC
Molecule: transfer RNA, 71 nt
Filed under: Comatella nigra
Lineage: Eukaryota; Metazoa; Echinodermata; Crinoidea; Comatulida; Comatulidae
Description: tRNA-Gln
Rfam family: tRNA
About the family: Transfer RNA (tRNA) molecules are approximately 80 nucleotides in length. Their secondary structure includes four short double-helical elements and three loops (D, anti-codon, and T loops).
Source: RNAcentral